RNAcentral lists this long non-coding RNA (669 nucleotides) under Ananas comosus (pineapple). RNAcentral's name for it is "long non-coding RNA (ACOM_LNC015248)". The record is from RNAcentral. Lineage: Eukaryota; Viridiplantae; Streptophyta; Magnoliopsida; Poales; Bromeliaceae.
CCUUUUUAUGACACUUAAAUAUUGCUAUAAUCUAAGCACAUUUCACAUUCUAUGUCUCUUUAUGACGUUAGCUUGUUCUAUCAAUAAUAGAUUAAUACACAUGCUCUCUAGCGUGUUCUCGUAUUGCUACAUGUAUGUUCUUUUCAAUGCAACUAUCAACUUGGCAUAAUUCUCAUAAUAAUAACAUGCACAUGCAAUUUACAUAUCCAUCAAGUCUAAUACCGCUUUAUGACAUUAGCUUGCUAAGUCCAUAUCUAGUCCAAGUCUAAUGCCGCUUUAUGACAUUAGCUUGCUAAGUCCAUAUCUAGUCCAAGCCUAAUGCCGCUUUAUGACAUUAGCUUACUAUUUGUAUACACUCUAGCCUAUGUCACUUAAUGUCGAUAUGUCCAACCAUAUCAAGCAUGCUUUCUAAGUCCAAGAGUGUAAUCUAUAUACCAUAUGCAUCAUAUGCAACAUGAUCUCAAUCAAAUGUAAGAAUGCUAACCAUAAGCCCCUAGCCCAACACUCUUUACUAUAUAGAGGUCAAAUAUGUAUUGUAUAUAACAUGUGCAUUUUAAGCAUUCUAAAAUUCUCAAAUAUUCUAUCUAGUAAGAAUAUGUAUGCAUUUUCACUUUACGAUAAAUAAAAAUCCUCAUAUGAGAAGUUUAUCUCAUCUAGGUAAGGCCAAAC